ACGGUCCCUCCCCGGCUAGCCAGCCAGCUCCCAUCACCCUAAUCAGGAGUGGGCUAGACGGCCCCGAUCACUGGCCAGCCCAAGGGACCCCACCCGUGCACGAAUUCGUGAACCAGGCCUCUAGCAUAAAUAUGUUUGACUAUUUGAAUGUGUUUGUCAUGGGCAGUGAACUAUUUUAGCGGCUUUUGGACCUUUUUAAAAAGUUGUAUCUAUAAAAAGUGAACCAAAUAUUUGGCUUUGAAGUAAAGAGAAAUACUAAAAUUGUUGAGUUAUUUUAGUGUGACAGUAUGUAAAUAAAUGAAAUGAGGAUGGUGGUGGUAAAUUAAUUUUCCAUAGCAAAACUGCCCGUCCGCCACCUAACAAAGCUUUGUUUCUAUUACACAUCAUCCUCUGAGGAUAGAAAAGGAGGAGGGACUGGACAAGCAGCACUCAUGCUACCCGCCCUGGAAUGGUGUCAGCUCAUCGGCAUAGCCAUCAGAAAGUUGCAGCCAAAAGACCAAGCUGUGACAUCUAAUUAAGACAUCCAGCGCAGAAGCUAAGCAUUGAACAGUUCCACCAAACCCCACAGCUUUCCAAGCUCAUGUGAAAUUCUGACUUGGCUGCUCUCUGCUGGGUGGACAUUGGACAGAGGACCCCAGCUUCCUCCACAUUGCUUAGGUCGCUCCUGACUCCAGUCUGCAUCAGAAAAACGUUUGAAUCAGGUACUGCCCCAUCGGACGGUCACUGUAUCCCUAAGGACCCCGAGAAAUGGCACCUCCUCCUCUGGAGAGAUUCUCAGGCUGACUGUUCACUCCUCGGACAUGUGGACCCCGGAUGACCCAUCCAGAACAAAAAAAAGUACCAGCCUCUCUCGGGUGGGUGUCAGAGCGCCCUGC
Molecule: long non-coding RNA, 875 nt
Organism: Pipistrellus kuhlii (Kuhl's pipistrelle)
Lineage: Eukaryota; Metazoa; Chordata; Mammalia; Chiroptera; Vespertilionidae
Exons: 3
Source: RefSeq, a predicted model, not a curated record